GCGAAUUGCUCAUUACAACAGCCGUAGUUUAUUGGAUCUAUCAAUCCUACUUGGAUACCUGUGGUAAUUCUAGAGCUAAUACACGCAUUCAGCCCUGAUCUCUUUGAGAGAAGGGUGCAUUUAUUAGUCUAAAGCCAAUCGGCUUCGGCCGUCAUUUGGUGAAUCUGAAUAACUCAGCCGAUCGCACGGUCCUCGCACCGGCGACGUGUCUUUCAAGUGUCUGCCUUAUCAACUGUCGAUGGGAGUGUAUUGGACUCCCAUGGUUGUAACGGGUAACGGAGAAUAAGGGUUCGACUCCGGAGAGGGAGCCUGAGAAACGGCUACCACAUCCAAGGAAGGCAGCAGGCGCGCAAAUUACCCACUCUCAGUACGAGGAGGUAGUGACGAAAAAUAACGAGACGGGUCUCUUCGAGGCUCGUCAUCGGAAUGGGUACAAUCCAAACCCUUUAACGAGGAUCUAUUGGAGGGCAAGUCUGGUGCCAGCAGCCGCGGUAAUUCCAGCUCCAAUAGCGUAUAUUAAUGUUGUUGCGGUUAAAAGGCUCGUAGUUGGAUCUGCGUCCUCUGAGCCUGGUCCCCCAUUGGGUGUGUCUGGGUCUCAAGGACUACCUCGUUGGUCUUCCCUUGGUGGCCUUCAUUGGUUGCCUCGGGUGGCCAGCACGUUUACUUUGAAAAAAUUAGAGUGCUCAAAGCAGGCAAAUGCCUGAAUAGUGGUGCAUGGAAUAAUGGAAUAGGACCUCGGUUCUAUUUUGUUGGCUUUCGGAGCGCGAGGUAAUGAUUAAGAGGGACAGACGGGGGCAUUCGUAUUGCUGCGUUAGAGGUGAAAUUCUUGGAUCGCAGCAAGACGAACAACUGCGAAAGCAUUUGCCAAGAAUGUUUUCAUUAAUCAAGAACGAAAGUUAGAGGUUCGAAGGCGAUCAGAUACCGCCC
RNAcentral lists this ribosomal RNA (927 nucleotides) under Nematoda environmental sample. RNAcentral's name for it is "bacterial SSU rRNA". It matches the Rfam family "Eukaryotic small subunit ribosomal RNA", at positions 89 to 1020 of the family's 1831-position model. Lineage: Eukaryota; Metazoa; Nematoda. The record is from RNAcentral.